Molecule: long non-coding RNA, 1212 nt
Organism: Esox lucius (northern pike)
Lineage: Eukaryota; Metazoa; Chordata; Actinopteri; Esociformes; Esocidae
Source: Ensembl
CAGUCUCCUUGUUCCCGGCACUCCACGAAGGCACCCGUAAUCACCACUGAUCCUGAGCACCUGCACCAGUCUACACACCUGGGGGGCUGAUUGCCACUCUACCUAUAAAUAGGAGAGUUCUGCUUUCAGUCCCUGCCGGAUUAUUGUACAGCCACCCCCUUUUUCCGAGACCCGUCCUGUACCUCCCUCCCAACCACCUUUCUGCCUUCCUGUUAUCGACCUUCGCCUGGACUGACUCCCCGCUCUGUUGACCGAACCCUGCCUGAUCUUCUGACUAUUCUUACCUCUCGGACUUCGUACCACUGCUACCCACUAUCCACCCUCCAACAAUACAUUCAUACCCACCUAUGUAAUUUUUACGUAUCUCCACUAUCAUCUCAGACUACUACGAUAAACAUCAUCAUUGUCCUUUUACCCCGGUGUCUGUAUCUGCUUCUGGAUCCUACCUCUGUCCUGAGUCCCGGGAGUCGUGACAGUUUGACGCAAUCUACCUCAUCUUAUCACGGCUGCUCUACAAACUCCAUGACCUGGAGAUCAGCCACUCCCUCUGCAACUGGACUUUGGACUUCCUAACCAACAGACACCACCUGUCAGGUUAGACAACUUCACCUCCUCCACCCUGAUCCUGAACACUGGUGUUCCACAAGGCUGCAUGCUGAGCCCCCUCCUGUACUCCCACUAUUGCCAUGGCACUGAAGUGGAGCAUGUGUCCAGCUACAAAUUCCCGGGUGUCCACAUCUCAGAGGACUACUCCUGGACCCUCAAAACCUCAACACUGGUCAAAAAGGCACAGCAGCGCCUGUACUUUUUGAGUAGGUUGAAGAAGCCCCGUCUGUCUUCCCAGAUCCUUAUGAACUUCUACUGCUGCACAAUCAAGAGCAUUCUGACUAACUGUGCCACGUGUGGUUUGACGGAUGCUCCAUGGCUGACUGGAAGGCCCUGCAGCGUGUGGUGAAAACCAUACUCACCCACCCAUCGCUUAGUACAGCCUCUCAGGGACCUUUUUGCACUACUCCCUUGUACUACUGGACUCUGACACUGCCUUGCAAUGUCUGAUAAUUUUCAGUUGUUCCAUGUAUGUGUCUACCUCAUGAACCUCAUUGCUGCUAUCCCUGCAUUUCAGUUGCACAUACUACCUUACGUCUCCAACUAGCUCGAUUGCACAGUCAGAAUUGUCAUUUGCACUUGUAUUUGCCUCAUCACACAACUAUU